RNAcentral lists this long non-coding RNA (395 nucleotides) under Pan troglodytes (chimpanzee). Its description in RNAcentral is "long non-coding RNA NONPTRT002411". The record is from RNAcentral. Lineage: Eukaryota; Metazoa; Chordata; Mammalia; Primates; Hominidae.
UUUUAAAGACAAUGACUCAGGGUGGUAGAAAGAGCUGGGGAUCUGCUGCAGGUGAGCUGUGGGGUGGCGGGGUCCACUCCAGUCUGCGUGAGUGUGGGGCCCCAGGGUGUGGGCGUGGAGGUAGAUGUAAGUGUGGAUGUAAGUGUGGGUGUAAGUGUGGGUGGGUGUAAGUGCGGGCGUGGAGGUAGAUGUAAGCGUGAGUGUAAGUGUGGGUGUGGAGGUAGAUGUAAGUGUGGGUGUAAGUGUGGGUGUGGAGGUAGAUGUAAGCGUGGGUGUAAGUGUGGGUGGGUGUAAGUGUGGGCGUGGAGGUAGAUGUAAGUGUGGGUGGGUGUAAGUGUGGGCGUGGAGGUAGAUGUAAGCGUGGGUGUAAGUGUGGGCGUGGAGGUAGAUGUAAG